UCGGAGUUCAGUCUUCCCAGGCCCACCACGCUUCGCCGUCGGCUUCGCAUGGCACCGCCAGGCAGAACGACGAGGCGAAGCGCGUCCGGCAUAGCCCGAAGGGCGACGCCGGACAGAAAGAGCGCUUCGUCUUCUGGUUACGGGGCCAUAGCUCAGCUGGGAGAGCGCGUGCUUUGCAAGCAUGAGGUCGUCGGUUCGAUCCCGUCUGGCUCCACCAGAUGGUUUGAUCACCGAGAUCUUGACCGUCGUCCGCGAAACAUCACUUCGCAUCCUGCUAGUCUGGAUAGACAGCAAGUUGCGUGUUUUCUGACAUCGUAAAGAGGAGAUCGAUCCGAGUUGGAUCGUGCAACAUAUCGUUGCGCGAGCCUUCAUUAUCUCCGGAUCAUUUCGGCGCUCGCUUCCAGCCGUGAGGUUGGAUGCGGGUUGUAAAUGAUCCUUUUAGCGAAGCUUGACCGCCUCGCUAUCGGAACGAUCUUACGAAGCAAGCUGGUCUUUCUAGUCAAUGUCCGGCUGUACGUAGCAUUCAUCGAGGGUGCGCGCCCGAGAUUUCGGUCUCUUGGCAAUCGUACAGACAACAUUCUGCCGAGUGUGUGGACAUUGAUAAUGAGAGCAAUCAAGUGCCUUAAGGGUGUUCGGUGGAUGCCUUGGCGCUGAGAGGCGAUGAAGGACGUGCUACGCUGCGAUAAGCCGUGGGGAGCUGCGAAGAAGCUUUGAUCCGCGGAUUUCCGAUG
Molecule: unclassified non-coding RNA, 731 nt
Filed under: uncultured Bradyrhizobium sp.
Lineage: Bacteria; Pseudomonadati; Pseudomonadota; Alphaproteobacteria; Hyphomicrobiales; Nitrobacteraceae
Description: partial 16S-23S ribosomal RNA intergenic spacer
Rfam family: Bacterial large subunit ribosomal RNA (bases 612-731)
Source: RNAcentral